Long non-coding RNA from Mustela erminea (ermine), 763 nucleotides. RefSeq lists it as uncharacterized. The transcript is spliced from 3 exons. The record is from RefSeq and is a predicted model, not a curated record. Lineage: Eukaryota; Metazoa; Chordata; Mammalia; Carnivora; Mustelidae.
UUCUACUGACUGAGCCAGCCAGGGGCACCUCAAGGUGUUUUGUUAAAAGAAGAAAAAUUAAAAGAGAUAAGGGAGUGAGAAGGGAACAGAGCUAUAAAUGCCGUUGCCAAGGAGUGGGGCACUUGCUUUGGUUAGCUCCAAGACUGGCUUAUUGCAGCUGUUACCUCUGAACACAAGCAAAUGAUUACCUGACCUUUAGGAAAUUUCUACCAGAGGGCAGAGUCUAUUUAGAUUUGAGGUAAAGGGAGGCUCAAAGAAGGGAAAAAAUAAGAGUAGAUUCAACUCUUGCCUCCAUUUAGGAACAAGAAUCUGGCAAACUGAGCUCCAGUCAACAGUGGCCUCACAGGGUCAGGAGAGAGGCAUGCUCAGAGAAAACACGGGGAACAGGAAGGAAAGCAGGAAGGAAGAGAGACACGUUCAAACCGACAUGCUUUACUGAACGCCAGAAGCACAGAUACACUUACAUGCAAGAGAUGAAACUGUCCAGCUCCCACCAGGCAUAGGAAAAAAGAAGGAGCCCCAAAGAAAGAAGCCAUCUUUCCUCCUCACCUUUCCUCGGAUCAAAGCUUUGAAAGCAAUUCGUACAAUUAGGUAGGACCAGAUGAUAUGCAGAACCUGCAGGAUCAGGAGAAGGCCAUUGAAGAGCCACCAGGAGGGAUAAGGCCCAAUCAUCUCCCAACUCUCAAAGAAGGUCGUGUUCAGAAUCCUAGAAGAGGAGGCCAGUGAUUUUACUUACUUACUUGCCAGAGAGAGAGAGAAUGAG